GACGAAGGGUGCGAGCGUUACCCGGAUUGACUGGGCGUAAAGGGUCCGUAGACGGUAUUUUUUAGUUAAAGGUUAAAUCGGAAAGCUUAACUUUCUUCCAGCCUUUAAUACUUCGAUACUUUGAGUUUGAAUGGGGAUAGCGGAAUUUCACAUGUAGGUGUGAUAUCCUAAUAUAUGUAAAGGAACACCAGAGGCGAAGGCGGCUAUCUAGUUCAAUACUGACGUUGAGGGACGAAAGCAUGGGGAGCAAACAGG
This 255-nucleotide ribosomal RNA is filed under the name uncultured bacterium. Its description in RNAcentral is "partial 16S ribosomal RNA". It matches the Rfam family "Bacterial small subunit ribosomal RNA", at positions 524 to 776 of the family's 1533-position model. The record is from RNAcentral.